RNAcentral lists this long non-coding RNA (199 nucleotides) under Eutrema salsugineum. Its description in RNAcentral is "long non-coding RNA (ESAL_LNC000495)". Lineage: Eukaryota; Viridiplantae; Streptophyta; Magnoliopsida; Brassicales; Brassicaceae. The record is from RNAcentral.
UUCUCUUCUCCUCUUUCUCCAAUCCGCCGAGCAUCCUCCUCUUCUCCUCCAUGGCGUGAUCCUGAUCCUCCUCCUUUCUCAUUGCCUCGUCUCUGCUCUUCCCUCCUCUCUUCUUCUCUCUCUCUUGGCCUCUUCCUCUCUCUUCUGUGCCGUCAAUUUGUGAGGCGAUUAUCUGGAAAAUCGUGAGGAUCCACGCGAC